This 274-nucleotide ribosomal RNA is filed under the name uncultured bacterium. RNAcentral's name for it is "partial 16S ribosomal RNA". It matches the Rfam family "Bacterial small subunit ribosomal RNA", at positions 523 to 796 of the family's 1533-position model. The record is from RNAcentral.
AUACGGAGGGCACGAGCGUUGUUCGGAAUCAUUGGGCGUAAAGCGGGUGUAGGCGGUUUGGCAAGUCGAGUGUGAAAUCCCAGGGCCCAACCCUGGAACUGCACUCGAUACUGCUUGACUAGAGUCCCGGAGAGGGUGGCGGAAUUCCCGGUGUAGAGGUGAAAUUCGUAGAUAUCGGGAGGAACACCAGUGGCGAAGGCGGCCACCUGGACGGUGACUGACGCUCAGACCCGAAAGCGUGGGGAGCAAACAGGAUUAGAAACCCCGGUAGUCC